GGUUCCUCAUUAAUUGGUUCGGCCGUUCGGGUGCGUUUGCGUUCCAGCCGUCUUGGUUUGUUCCUGCUCUCUCCUUUCGUUCUUUCAUUCUCCCUUCCGUUUUCGUUUGUUUGUUUUCUCAUUUUCUUUCACUCUGCUCUUGUGGCUGUGAUGACUAUUUCGUUUCUCGAAUCUGAUAUCGAUGUCAUUCGAGGACCGCCUUGAUGACUUCAUUUGUGCGUGUCUGAGCCAUUUUUGUUCUUGUUCUUCGAUCUAAAUUGUAGAAAUCAAACAUUUAGAUCACCUGAUUGACGGGAUCGGAUGAUGAUCGAUGUGGAUUUUACUUUUGUUACUGAUUUGAUAGUUUGAUUAGGCUUCAUAUGUGCAUAUUGAUUGGAUCAGUGGAGAAGGAAGGGGAAGUUGAUUAAUGAGAACCCAAAUUUAAUAUGCUUGUUUUAGCUCUUGGAGGCCUUCUUUCUUGUGAAAUUUUAGAUUUCAAUGUUGCUUGGUCUCAGGAAGAUGCCAGCUAAAUCUUGGGGCUUUCUCCAUCAAGGAGCUCUUUGAGUUGGAGGAUCUGUGUGAUGCAUGCAUGGGGUGUGUUUACUGCACUGUUCUGUACUCAUAUGGGCGCAUUUAAUCUUUGAAUGGAUAGCUUUUGGUUGAAUGAGACUGAUUCUGAGCUGUUUUCAUUGAAGGCGUGACAAUCAUUGGUUAUUGGGAUUUCAUCUUUUUACCAUUGGUUUGUCUCUUUGUUUAUUUUUUUGAGAUUUAAUUAUUUUCCUUACCAAGUGCAUGUUUGAUGAGUAAUUCUACUUCUUGAUCUUGAUAUCUUGUUUUCGUUUUGACUGCUUGUGUAUGUAUCUCGGACAACUUUUUCUUGUUCAGAAUGUGUAGUUUAGUAAAAUAUUGUUAGUUCUGUGUACCAAAAUGACCUCGGAGAUAGCGAUAUGUUUCAUCGGAAGAGUAAAUGUCACUUAAAAAUAUUCUCUCAUAUCAGUUUGGGUUUCCUAAGUGUAAAUUCCAAAUAUUUCUCUUCUUGUAGGUACAAAGAAAGCCUUUUAUUAUAUGGCAUGAAAUUUAGUCAGGGGAGCAUACGUAAGUAUAAACUCGCAUAGCAUUUAUAGCUCAUUGUUCUCAUCAGGAUAGACUAUAUAAAUUACUUGAGUCUCAUGUAGAUCUUACAAAAUGCUGAUUCUAAUAUGGCAUUAGAUGCAUUGAGUACUUGACAUGUUCUGAGAUUAUGAUGCAUGCCAAUAACAGGAAAUCAGACAGACUUCAUCCUUUUUUCACUGUUUAAUUUGAUCAGAUGUGGCCAUUUACAGCACAGUAGUGUUUCUGCAUUAUGCCAGAAUGCCAUCGAUGCUGCUGCUUUGUUUCCUCCUGUGAGCCUCAUAUGACUGAAGCAAUUCACAUUGGCACAGCAAAAUGUGAAUCAAGAGAACGUUUAUCUUCAUAUGUCUCGACUCAUUCCUCGGAUUGUUGGGAAUUUUAUAGCAAUUCAUGUGGUGUAUUUGUGCCUCCACACAGUUUGCUGGGACAUGAAUUGUGGGAAUUAACGAGUUGGAUUGGGUUUCUUAUGUUAUCAAUUGAUAGUAUGUUAUGUUACGGAUGUUAGCACCAUAGCAGUGACCUCCAAAGUUGGCUGAGCUCCACAUUGUAAAAGAUUAUUUCUAGUUAGAAUUAAUCAAAAUGCACAAUAAAUCCACUCCAUCAUUCUUUCA
Musa acuminata AAA Group (dessert banana) is the source of this 1700-nucleotide long non-coding RNA. RefSeq lists it as uncharacterized. NCBI's taxonomy places the organism in Eukaryota, Viridiplantae, Streptophyta, Magnoliopsida, Zingiberales, Musaceae. The transcript is spliced from 2 exons. The record is from RefSeq and is a predicted model, not a curated record.